Molecule: long non-coding RNA, 1307 nt
Organism: Pogoniulus pusillus (Red-fronted tinkerbird)
Lineage: Eukaryota; Metazoa; Chordata; Aves; Piciformes; Lybiidae
Exons: 2
Source: RefSeq, a predicted model, not a curated record
GGAGCUGCUGCAGCAAGAGACAGAGCCUCCACUGUGCCCCAAGCGUGACACUCCAGAGUCACUGGGGCUGCAGAGACAGCAGCAGGACAGCAGCAAGAACAUAGAAUUGCAGGGCAUUAGAGGCUGGAAGGGACCUCCAGAGUCCAGCUCCCCUGCCAAGGCAGGAUCAGCCAGGGUAGUCUGCACAGGAAUGCACCCUGGUGGGUGUGAUGGUUUGGGUGUACCCCGCCCCCCCAAAUUAUCUGUGUUUUGGUUUGGUUGCAAAACUGUCCCCUCUCAAUGUCCUAUUUCCCCACAUUUUCCUCCUUUUAUUUCCAUCUCCUUCCUUUCCUCUUCAUCUUCCUCUUUUCAUCUCCAUCCUUUUCCUCUCCAUCCUCCUCCUCUUUAUCUCCUUUCAGCACACCUUUCCUUUUCUGCCAUAUCUGCUCCUUUCCCACUCCACACCACAUUUUCCUCUUUUCUCCCCCAAACCCAGAGCACCUGCGUUCUGUUAGAGUCUCCUCCCACCCCAGGUGUGACCACUUUGCUCUCCCUGCCCACUCCCCUUUAUAAUCUGCCCCAGGAAAGGCAGUAGCCUCAAGCUUGCCCAACUGGGCAGAGGGAUCCUCCUCCCAUCAUCACUGACUGUAAAAAGCACAGGAAGAAACCUGUGGAACGUUUUGAGAAGCUUUGAAUGAGCAUGGAGCAAAUGUCUGAGAGUCCUGCUGCCAGCAGCACCUGCAUCCCAGCGAGCCCGGGUCUGCCACAGCCGCCUGUCCAACAGCACCGCGCACCUGCCUGCCGGCCAGCCGCUUCUGCUCCCCCAUCCUAAGCCUGCUUGAGAGAGAGCCCAAGAGAAGCAGAUAAAGGAGGGCAAAGAUGCUCAAGCUGCCAAGUGGCUGUCCUUAACAAGAGCUUGCUGUUCCACAUGAGAAGCCUCACUGCUAGUUCUCAACACAGGCUAGACACUGGCCCAGCAAACCCCAGCACCUAGGUGGUGAACCAGGGAGUGACUCCCUGUCUCCCAAGUUGCCUUGAGCAAGUUUCCUGCUGCCUAGCACUUUUAUCCUGUCACUCCCCUCCCGGCAGCAGAGCCAUCAGAGGGGCCUGAGCACUGAAGUGCUGUUCAGCCAGGACCAGCUAAUGCAAAGGGUGUUCCAGAGUGGACUCUUUACUGUAUGCAGCCAGUUCAUAGAUGCAUAGCAAGUGGUACUUAAAAUUGUUUCCCAAGUGGUGGCAUUUUUCAUAUCCAUAUUUUACUUUUUACCCCAUUUCACUGAAAUACUCUCUGGAAGAAUUUCUUCUGGAAUAAACAUUUCAGCACAUCA